UGAAGACCUCAGCCUUUUCUUAAAGGACGGUAUUUUUAUUUGCGUCCCUCACUUCAAUGUGAGGGCAGGACUUUAGACAAAAUAGAGGAAUUACGUUUUGUUACUAUUUUAUUUUACACUUUUUCUUGGACACUUAACGAAGAGAGAUGUAUACUAGCUGAGAACAUUAUCUAAGCCAUUUUGUACUGUUACGAUUCUCAAUGCACCCCUCACGACCGACGCUGCACCCACUGCCAUAGCCCCCAGGACCGGGUCAGGAUGUGACAACAUCCACUGCCAUAGCCCCCAGGACCGGGUCAGGAUGUGACAACACCCACUGCCAUACCCCUCAGGACUGGGCCAGGAUGUGACAACACCCACUGCCAUACCCCUCAGGACUGGGCCAAGAUGUGACAACACCCACUGCCAUAGCCCUCAGGACUGGGCCAGGAUGUGACAACACCCACUGCCAUAGCCCUCAGGACUGGGCCAGGAUGUGACAACACCCACUGCCAUAGCCCCCAGGACCGGGCCAGGAUGUGACAACACCCACUGCCAUAGCCCCCAGGACUGGGCCAGGAUGUGACAUCUACUGCCAUAGCCCUCAGGACUGGGCCAGGAUGUGACAACAUCCACUGCCAUAGCCCUCAGGACUGGGCCAAGAUGUGACAACACCCACUGCCACAGCCCUCAGGACUGGGCCAGGAUGUGACAACACCCACUGCCACAGCCCCCAGGACUGGGCCAGGAUGUCACAACACCCACUGCCAUAGCCCUCAGGACAGGGCCGGGAUGUGACAACAGCACUUAAUGGCUACCAAGAGUAAACCAUGGGUUUUCCUAAUCAGUGUCCAGAUUUAGUAUUAACAUUUUCAUUUUUUGUUUCAAUUACAGUGAUUAACAAUUGUAAUUGCACCAAUCUAUAAGCCACCAUUUAAAAUACAUUAAUUAUUGCAAUUUUCCUGGAAAAUGCACAGAAAAUACUAUUCUGAUAUUGUGGAGAAAUCCUGAACUUGUACGUAAAGCAACAGAUCACUGAAAUGAGGAUGAAUAACAUUUUAAUGGCAAUCAAUACAUACAAAAAACAUUAAGAAAUAAAAUAGGUGGUUUAAAAAAAAAAUAGGGGGGUUGUCAAUUUUAACACUAAAAGCAUGAUACAUCGGUAACACAGUGAAUGCUUAGCUAACAGGCACAACUCAGCUGUAAAUAAAUUCCAUGUAAUUAAAUAGUGGUUUAAAAGAAAUAGGGGGCUAACAGGCACAACUCAGCUGUAAACAUGUUCACAUGUAGCUCACCAGAUUGGUAGUGCUCACAAUUAUUAAUACUCAACCAUGCAUUGAAGAGGAACAAUUUCUCACUUAAAAAAUGCAACAUAACAUUAACGUAACAUGUAGGUCUAACUGUGUAAGGAAUGCACUCAAAAACACCAUUAGUUACAAUAUACCGUAAAGUGACCAAAUUGGCUUAUAGGAACACCAGUGGUUUACAAAAAAGACUUAACUUAAUUGACUUUUAAAAUAAAAUAUGUAAUACAAUAAAUAUAUACUGGACAACAUAACUGCAACAAUAUGCAAAAUGUAUAGAUUUGUAUGCAAGUGUACCCUUUAAGCCC
Long non-coding RNA from Esox lucius (northern pike), 1591 nucleotides. Lineage: Eukaryota; Metazoa; Chordata; Actinopteri; Esociformes; Esocidae. The record is from Ensembl.